UUUUAGGUGGGAAGUCUAGAAGAAAUUAAACGGUUUAUUACACUGAACGUGACAAAAAUCAUUGCAAUCAUAAAGCCGGUUAAGCCGUUAAGGUUAUUACUUAUCAUAUUAUUGACCGUGUUUUUUCUUCUUGUUUCGUUUUUUAAGACAGUCCAGAAAUUAACAAAAAUUAAUCUUUCCACUGUUAAAAUGCGGACGUAAAUUCCUAAUUAUUUGAGUUGUUGUAUGAAUGCGGAGCAUUUUUACUAUCCCAAAACAUGGUUUUCUAGA
Molecule: non-coding RNA, 270 nt
Organism: Cinara cedri
Lineage: Eukaryota; Metazoa; Arthropoda; Insecta; Hemiptera; Aphididae
Source: the annotation of a GenBank genome assembly